This 468-nucleotide ribosomal RNA is filed under the name uncultured bacterium. RNAcentral's name for it is "partial 16S ribosomal RNA". It matches the Rfam family "Bacterial small subunit ribosomal RNA", at positions 28 to 507 of the family's 1533-position model. The record is from RNAcentral.
GACGAACGCUGGCGGCGUGCUUAACACAUGCAAGUCGAACGGAAAGGCCCUGCUUUUGUGGGGUGCUCGAGUGGCGAACGGGUGAGUAACACGUGAGUAACCUGCCCUUGACUUUGGGAUAACUUCAGGAAACUGGGGCUAAUACCGGAUAGGAGCUCCUGCUGCAUGGUGGGGGUUGGAAUGUUUCGGCGGUUGGGGAUGGACUCGCGGCUUAUCAGCUUGUUGGUGGGGUAGUGGCUUACCAAGGCUUUGACGGGUAGCCGGCCUGAGAGGGUGACCGGCCACAUUGGGACUGAGAUACGGCCCAGACUCCUACGGGAGGCAGCAGUGGGGAAUAUUGCACAAUGGGCGGAAGCCUGAUGCAGCAACGCCGCGUGCGGGAUGACGGCCUUCGGGUUGUAAACCGCUUUCGCCUGUGACGAAGCGUGAGUGGCGGUAAUGGGUAAAGAAGCACCGGCUAACUACGUG